UACGUAGGGUGCAAGCGUUAAUCGGAAUUACUGGGCGUAAAGCGUGCGCAGGCGGUUUUGUAAGUCUGACGUGAAAUCCCCGGGCUCAACCUGGGAAUUGCGUUGGAGACUGCAAGGCUAGAAUCUGGCAGAGGGGGGUAGAAUUCCACGUGUAGCAGUGAAAUGCGUAGAGAUGUGGAGGAACACCGAUGGCGAAGGCAGCCCCCUGGGUUAAGAUUGACGCUCAUGCACGAAAGCGUGGGGAGCAAACAGG
RNAcentral lists this ribosomal RNA (253 nucleotides) under uncultured bacterium. Its description in RNAcentral is "partial 16S ribosomal RNA". It matches the Rfam family "Bacterial small subunit ribosomal RNA", at positions 524 to 776 of the family's 1533-position model. The record is from RNAcentral.